Molecule: ribosomal RNA, 301 nt
Filed under: uncultured bacterium
Lineage: Bacteria
Description: partial 16S ribosomal RNA
Rfam family: Bacterial small subunit ribosomal RNA
Source: RNAcentral
CAGUAGCCACGGUAAUACGUAGGUGGCGAGCGUUGUCCGGAAUUAUUGGGCGUAAAGGGAGCGCAGGCGGGCGAGUAAGUCUUUCUUAAAAGUGCGGGGCUCAACCCCGUGAGGGGAGAGAAACUACUCAUCUUGAGUGCAGGAGAGGAAAGCGGAAUUCCUAGUGUAGCGGUGAAAUGCGUAGAUAUUAGGAAGAACACCAGUGGCGAAGGCGGCUUUCUGGACUGUAACUGACGCUGAGGCUCGAAAGCCAGGGGAGCGAACGGGAUUAGAUACUCCUGUAGUCCCUGUCUCUUAUACA